The sequence is a ribosomal RNA, 456 nucleotides long. It matches the Rfam family "Bacterial large subunit ribosomal RNA", at positions 1845 to 2587 of the family's 2925-position model.
AUAAAGAGUCGGACCUGCCCAGUGAUAUAAUACAUUUAACGGCCGCAGUACCCUGACUGUGCAAAGGUAGCAUAAUCAUUUGCCCUAUAAUUGAGGGCUAGUAUGAAUGGUUUGACAAGAACAUAGCUGUCUCUUAUAAGAUAACUAAAAAUUAAAUUUUAGGUGAAGAUGCCUAAAUUAGACUAAAAGACGAGAAGACCCUGUUGAGCUUUAAAAACUUGAAGGUUGACUAGAAAGUUUUUUUGGUUGGGGCGACCUAGGAACAUUUAAAGCUUCUUUUAUUACUUAAAACGUUCGGUUAUGAUCCAAUAGAAUUGAUUAACGAAAUAAGCUACCACAGGGAUAACAGCGUAAUUCUCUCUAAGAGUUCACAUUAAAGAGUGAGUUUGCGACCUCGAUGUUGGACUAAAAUAUCCUAAAGAUGCAGAUGUCUUUAAGGGUUGGUCUGUUCGACCA